RNAcentral lists this ribosomal RNA (253 nucleotides) under uncultured bacterium. Its description in RNAcentral is "partial 16S ribosomal RNA". It matches the Rfam family "Bacterial small subunit ribosomal RNA", at positions 524 to 776 of the family's 1533-position model. The record is from RNAcentral.
UACGUAGGGAGCAAGCGUUGUCCGGAAUCAUUGGGCGUAAAGCGCGCGUAGGUGGCUCUGUAAGUCCGUUGUGAAAGUCAAAGGCUCAACCUUUGAAAGCCGAUGGAUACUGCAGAGCUAGAGUACGGAAGAGGCGAGUGGAAUUCCUGGUGUAGCGGUGGAAUGCGCAGAUAUCAGGAGGAACACCAAUAGCGAAGGCAGCUCGCUGGGACGUUACUGACACUGAGGCGCGAAAACGUGGGGAGCGAACAGG